AAAGCCACAAUCCCUUAUAGCCUGGGCUGCAGAAUUCCCUGGUGGACAGCCGAGAGCUUGUUGACUGCCCUGUGGUAUGUGAGCAAUUUGGAUCAAGUGUUAAAACCCAAGGCUGAGACAGACGGACGAACAGACAUCUGGCUCUUGCGAACAGUGCUAUUGACACAGCACAGUGACCCUGCUCCUUCUGCCAGGUCUUUCUUUCACACAAGGCCAUUUGUUUUCCUCUCAGUCCCCAUGGUGGUAUGGCUUUUUAUUGCAGAAUUAGCAGGCCAAGGUUACAGCUGUGUUGGCUUUCCAGGAGGAAUCAGCAGCCAAAUGAGGAAAAGUAAUCCUUGGAGUUGCAGCUGUCUCACAGUCAACUGAAGUGAGGAGCCCGAGAAGAAUAAGCAAGUGAGUGGGUGCAGAGAGGAGAAAAAUCAGAUUUGACUCUCUCGUGCCCCAAACACUCCCUACCUUUGCUUCCUUCCUCCAGCCUGGCAGCAAACACCAUCACUUAGUGAAGCAUCUGUCUUCUUCCAGGGAAAGGAAAACAUGUUUUCCCAGUAAAUAUUUAGAGAGUGUUUCCUGCUUGCAGAACCACUGAGGAUGGGUGUUUGUAUGUAGUUCUGUCUCCUGUGGUCAACGAGGCAACCCCCCCCCCCCAAUUUUUAAACUGAAUGGCUUAUGUGUGUGAAGGAAGCCCCAAAAGUUGACAGAUGCCUGGCCGGCUCCCAUAUUGGUGAUGCCAAUAGCUUAAGCCUGGGAAUCGUUGUGUUCCAAGGAGUGAUUCAGAAGCCACAGAAGAACCUCUCUAAUGUAUGAGUAUGAAAAAAAAAAUGAUGAACUUCCCUGAUGAGGCAGAUUAACUUUGUGUAAUUCAAAUCAACUACUAUUUCUUAAUUUAAUUCAGCUUAAUUUAAUAAGCAUUUAUUAAACAUUUAGUAAUGACUAGUGAGAACAUUCUUGUUGUGCAACCAUUUAUGCCAGAUUGCUAGUGACCUGGUAGACUAUAUCAUACCAAUUCUGUCCAUGGUGUGUCCUUGGCAUUGGUUUUGGAGUUGUCUUCCAUUUCCUGUUCCAGUGAAUUAAAGCAAAUGGAGGUUUAUGUGACUUGAAAAGGGUUACACAACUAAUAAAUGUCUGAAGUUGGAUCUGAACUCA
Molecule: long non-coding RNA, 1143 nt
Filed under: Monodelphis domestica (gray short-tailed opossum)
Lineage: Eukaryota; Metazoa; Chordata; Mammalia; Didelphimorphia; Didelphidae
Description: lncRNA (ENSMODG00000041530.1)
Source: RNAcentral